AGAAGAACUAAAGGAGUUUUUGCAAAGAUUACUGAGGUUAUUCUUAUUCAAUCACCCAACAUCUCUAUGGAUUUAGCCUUGAGACUUGCUUUGGAAAUUCUGUAUUAGAUGACCCAACAUGAGAAAUAGCAUGAGAGUACUUGCAUGUUGCUGCUUGCUCUCUUGUGUCUUCUGUCAUCACCUUGAGAACAUACCCAGGCUAGUCUGCUGGAUGAGAUCUGGAACUGAACCAGACCAUAUCUCUGAGGUAAGCCUAUAAAUGUUUUACAUUGAAGGUAGUUCUUUUAUCUCUAUUCAAGAGGUACUAUUUAGGAGAAAUGCAUUUUUAAUUUAAAAAUGUAGAAGAUAAACAAACAUGUUUUUUAAAAAAAAAUUUAAGUCAUUUACAGACUGG
Long non-coding RNA from Leopardus geoffroyi (Geoffroy's cat), 394 nucleotides. RefSeq lists it as uncharacterized. The record is from RefSeq and is a predicted model, not a curated record. NCBI's taxonomy places the organism in Eukaryota, Metazoa, Chordata, Mammalia, Carnivora, Felidae. The transcript is spliced from 3 exons.